GAGAGAGAUGAGGUGAAGGAUGAGGAGAAAGAGAUGAGGUGGAGGAAGAGGAGAGAGAUGAGGUGAAGGAUGAGGAGAAAGAGAUGAGGUGGAGGAAGAGGAGAGAGAGAUGAGGUGGAGGAAGAGGAGAGAGAGAUGAGGUGGAGGAAGAGGAGAGAGAUGAGGUGGAGGAAGAGGAGAGAGAGAUGUCUUCUCACCAAAGUCUGGCGUGUCUCUCUUCAUCUCCUCCAGAAACAUCACCUUCUUCCUCACAACAGAGCCGUAGCUAUAUCCUGUAACACACACACACACACACACACA
Oncorhynchus tshawytscha (Chinook salmon) is the source of this 300-nucleotide long non-coding RNA. NCBI's taxonomy places the organism in Eukaryota, Metazoa, Chordata, Actinopteri, Salmoniformes, Salmonidae. The record is from Ensembl.